This 492-nucleotide ribosomal RNA is filed under the name uncultured bacterium. RNAcentral describes it as "partial 16S ribosomal RNA". It matches the Rfam family "Bacterial small subunit ribosomal RNA", at positions 29 to 507 of the family's 1533-position model. The record is from RNAcentral.
AGUGAACGCUGGCGGUAGGCCUAACACAUGCAAGUCGAACGGCAGCACAGUAAGAGCUUGCUCUUACGGGUGGCGAGUGGCGGACGGGUGAGGAAUACAUCGGAAUCUACUUUUUCGUGGGGGAUAACGUAGGGAAACUUACGCUAAUACCGCAUACGACCUACGGGUGAAAGCAGGGGAUCUUCGGACCUUGCGCGAUUGAAUGAGCCGAUGUCGGAUUAGCUAGUUGGCGGGGUAAAGGCCCACCAAGGCGACGAUCCGUAGCUGGUCUGAGAGGAUGAUCAGCCACACUGGAACUGAGACACGGUCCAGACUCCUACGGGAGGCAGCAGUGGGGAAUAUUGGACAAUGGGCGCAGGCCUGAUCCAGCCAUACCGCGUGGGUGAAGAAGGCCUUCGGGUUGUAAAGCCCUUUUGUUGGGAAGGAAAAGCAGCAGGUUAAUACCCCGCUGUUCUGACGGUACCCAAAGAAUAAGCACCGGCUAACUUCGUG